CCUACGGGAGGCAGCAGUGGGGAAUAUUGGUCAAUGGAGGAAACUCUGAACCAGCAACGCCGCGUGAAUGAUGAAGGUCUUCGGAUUGUACAGUUCUUUUCUCAGGGAAGAAGAAAGUGACGGUCCCUUAGUACUAAGCCUCGGCUAACUACGUGCCAGCAGCCGCGGUAAUACGUAGGAGGCGAGCGUUAUCCGGAAUGACUGGGCGUAAAGGGUGCGUAGGUGGUGUGACAAGUUGGUAGCGUAACUCCGAGGCUCAACCUCGGCACUACUACCAAAACUGUCGGACUUGAGUGCAGGAGGGGCAAUUGGAAUUCCUAGUGUAGCGGUGGAAUGCGUAGAUAUUAGGAGGAACACCGGUGGCGACGGCGAAUUGCUGGACUGUAACUGACACUGUGGUACGAAAGCGUGGGGAGCAAACAGGAUUAGAUACCCCUGUAGUC
This 443-nucleotide ribosomal RNA is filed under the name uncultured bacterium. RNAcentral's name for it is "partial 16S ribosomal RNA". It matches the Rfam family "Bacterial small subunit ribosomal RNA", at positions 338 to 795 of the family's 1533-position model. The record is from RNAcentral.